RNAcentral lists this ribosomal RNA (703 nucleotides) under uncultured bacterium. RNAcentral describes it as "bacterial SSU rRNA". It matches the Rfam family "Bacterial small subunit ribosomal RNA", at positions 9 to 705 of the family's 1533-position model. The record is from RNAcentral.
GAGUUUGAUCCUGGCUCAGAUUGAACGCUGGCGGCAUGCCUUACACAUGCAAGUCGAACGGCAGCACGGGAGCAAUCCUGGUGGCGAGUGGCGAACGGGUGAGUAAUAUAUCGGAACGUGCCCAGUCGUGGGGGAUAACGCAGCGAAAGCUGCGCUAAUACCGCAUACGAUCCAUGGAUGAAAGCGGGGGACUCGCAAGGGCCUCGCGCGAUUGGAGCGGCCGAUAUCAGAUUAGGUAGUUGGUGUGGUAAAAGCGCACCAAGCCGACGAUCUGUAGCUGGUCUGAGAGGACGACCAGCCACACUGGAACUGAGACACGGUCCAGACUCCUACGGGAGGCAGCAGUGGGGAAUUUUGGACAAUGGGCGCAAGCCUGAUCCAGCAAUGCCGCGUGCAGGAUGAAGGCCUUCGGGUUGUAAACUGCUUUUGUACGGAACGAAACGGUCUGCUUUAAUACAGUGGGCUAAUGACGGUACCGUAAGAAUAAGCACCGGCGAACUACGUGCCAGCAGCCGCGGUAAUACGUAGGGUGCGAGCGUUAAUCGGAAUUACUGGGCGUAAAGCGUGCGCAGGCGGUUAUAUAAGACAGAUGUGAAAUCCCCGGGCUCAACCUGGGACCUGCAUUUGUGACUGUAUAGCUAGAGUACGGUAGAGGGGGAUGGAAUUCCGCGUGUAGCAGUGAAAUGCGUAGAUAUGCGGAGGA